This 1296-nucleotide long non-coding RNA is filed under the name Gadus morhua (Atlantic cod). Its description in RNAcentral is "lncRNA (ENSGMOG00000027119.1)". The record is from RNAcentral. Lineage: Eukaryota; Metazoa; Chordata; Actinopteri; Gadiformes; Gadidae.
GUGAUGUUGAGGUCUCAUAUCCAACACUAGAUGUCAGUUUUAUCAAGUAGGUGUUUGGUCAUUGAGUCUUCGACAGCUGGUAUCAUGAAGAGAAUAAGGCCCUACUUGAGCUGAACACCAUACAGUUUCUCCUGUUGCUUUAAACUUGCUGUUGGGAAAAGCUCAUGUUACACACAUAUGACAUUUUAUCUAUCAUGUCCAUUAUGUGGAAUCUUUCCAGGGCUGAUAUCUUGGGACUCCAUCUCUCCUGAUAAACAGGAAGUCAGUGGAAAAAUGGGAGGAACUGUAACACUCCGAUGCUGCUAUGAUACAGGUGAUGAAUAUGUUAUUCUUUAAUAGGAUUAUUGUAACUGGCAUAAUUUACUAGAGAUCAGUAUUAUCAAGUAAUGGUUUAACUAUUUCCUCAACAGCCGUGUCACAACGUUAUUAAUCCAAAGGGGACCAGGUAACCAAGUUACAAAUGUAAUAGCAUGUGUUCACCUAAAGAGGGAGUCACUACAAUGGAAAACAACCUACAAGUGGUGCUGGGGUUUGGUUCUCCUUUAAAUAAAUUAAAUCUCAACAAUGCACAUAGCAAGACCCCUAUCGAGUGAGCUGAUAUCCUUUGGUGAUGGCUUCAUAAACGCUCGCAAAGUAAAGGAAAAUCAAAAUGAGUUUACCCAUAGCGAAACUCAGCUUUUGCUGUGAUGGUCAUGAAUGGUAACAGGUCUGCUGGGUAUUGGAGAGCCUUGGAGAGAUGAGAUGAUGGGAGGAGCCAGCCACAAAAGGACUGUUGAGUAAAAUGUGUUUAUGUUUGCCUCCCUGCUUUACUGGAACUCGCUCUGCUCUCCACUGCCUCACUCCAUCAUGCUCUUUGCACUCGUGAUAUGUUGCAUUUUAUGUGGUCCAAGUGUUGAAGACAGUAUCAGUCAGCAGAAGGAUGUCCAACGUGCUGUUGAGGGUGCUGCUGUGGUGCUCUCAUGCAGCUACAACAGCUCUGCAGUCAGUAGUCUCUUAUGGUACCGCCAGUACCCCGGCUCACCACCACAGUUCCUUAUCAUGGAAUACUCUGGAUACAUAACUAAUCCAAUACCAGGAAUGAAAAUAACACAUAUCAAACAACAGAGACUUGUGGAGCUGCUGAUCUCCUCUGCUGCGGUGACAGACUCUGCUCUGUACUACUGUGCUCUGAGGCCCACAGUGACAGGAAACACAGACUCCCUGUACAAAAACCUGUGAAGCACAAAACAUGCGUCCAUCUCCCUUAGACCAGAACACAGAUAUUUCUGACAGAACACAUGAACUCAUCACAAUAUU